RNAcentral lists this ribosomal RNA (351 nucleotides) under uncultured bacterium. RNAcentral describes it as "bacterial SSU rRNA". It matches the Rfam family "Bacterial small subunit ribosomal RNA", at positions 8 to 350 of the family's 1533-position model. The record is from RNAcentral.
AGAGUUUGAUCCUGGCUCAGGAUGAACGCCAGCUACAGGCUUAACACAUGCAAGUCGAGGGGAAACGAUAUUGGAAGCUUGCUUCCGAUAGGCGUCGACCGGCGCACGGGUGAGUAACGCGUAUCCAACCUGCCCACCACUUGGGGAUAACCUUGCGAAAGUAAGACUAAUACCCAAUGAUAUCUCUAGAAGACAUCUGAAAGAGAUUAAAGAUUUAUCGGUGAUGGAUGGGGAUGCGUCUGAUUAGCUUGUUGGCGGGGUAACGGCCACAAGGCGACGAUCAGUAGGGGUUCUGAGAGGAAGGUCCCCCANAUUGGAACUGAGACACGGUCCAAACUCCUACGGGAGGCA